RNAcentral lists this ribosomal RNA (465 nucleotides) under Vreelandella stevensii. RNAcentral describes it as "partial 16S ribosomal RNA". It matches the Rfam family "Bacterial small subunit ribosomal RNA", at positions 338 to 795 of the family's 1533-position model. The record is from RNAcentral. Lineage: Bacteria; Pseudomonadati; Pseudomonadota; Gammaproteobacteria; Oceanospirillales; Halomonadaceae.
CCUACGGGCGGCAGCAGUGGGGAAUAUUGGACAAUGGGCGAAAGCCUGAUCCAGCCAUGCCGCGUGUGUGAAGAAGGCCUUCGGGUUGUAAAGCACUUUCAGUGGGGAAGAAAGCCUUGGGGCUAAUACCCUCGAGGAAGGACAUCACCCACAGAAGAAGCACCGGCUAACUCCGUGCCAGCAGCCGCGGUAAUACGGAGGGUGCGAGCGUUAAUCGGAAUUACUGGGCGUAAAGCGCGCGUAGGCGGUCUGAUAAGCCGGUUGUGAAAGCCCCGGGCUCAACCUGGGAACGGCAUCCGGAACUGUCAGGCUAGAGUGCAGGAGAGGAAGGUAGAAUUCCCGGUGUAGCGGUGAAAUGCGUAGAGAUCGGGAGGAAUACCAGUGGCGAAGGCGGCCUUCUGGACUGACACUGACGCUGUGGUGCGAAAGCGUGGGUAGCAAACAGGAUUAGAUACCCUAGUAGUC